This is an RNA transcript of Raphanus sativus (radish), 1608 nucleotides long. It is a transcript of the gene named ubiquitin carboxyl-terminal hydrolase 3-like, with no coding region annotated. The record is from RefSeq and is a predicted model, not a curated record. NCBI's taxonomy places the organism in Eukaryota, Viridiplantae, Streptophyta, Magnoliopsida, Brassicales, Brassicaceae. The transcript has 13 exons.
CACGGAGCUUCUUUCAGUGAUUCGUUUCUUCAUAGAUUUGAUUUCUUCUACAAACACCGAUCGAAAGACAGACGAUCCUUUAAGAUGGCGACCGUAGACGAGAGUUCAUCAGCUAAGAGAUGGCUUCCACUCGAAGCUAACCCCGAUGUUAUGAAUCAGUUUCUGUGGGGGCUUGGUCUUGCCCCAGAUGAAGUGGAGUGUAAUGAUGUGUUUGGUCUAGAUGACGAACUGCUUGAGAUGGUUCCAAAGCCUGUCCUUGCUGUUCUCUUCCUUUACCCGCUCACCAAAAAGAGUGAAGAAGAGAGAAUCGAGCAAGACAAGGAGAUCAAGGAGAAGGUGCACAGUGAUAAAGUUUACUUCAUGAAACAAACUGUUGGUAAUGCUUGCGGAACCAUUGGUCUUCUUCAUGCUAUUGGCAACAUUACCUCUGAAAUCAAGCUUUCUGAGGGAUCAUUCUUGGAUAAAUUCUUCAAAACCACCGCCAAGAUGAGUCCUAUGGAGCGUGGAAGGUUUCUUGAGAACGAUAGUCAAAUUGAAGAUGCUCAUUCGGCAGCUGUUACAGCUGGUGAAACACCGGCUUCAGAAGAUGUGAACACACAUUUCAUCUGUUUAGCUUGUGUAAACGGGGAGCUCUAUGAACUUGAUGGAAGAAAAGCAGGACCAGUUUCACAUGGUGCUUCCUCUCCAGCUACCCUGUUGAAGCCGCAGGUACCUGCGUCUGCGGCUGCGGCAAUCUUUUUCAAAAAAUGUUGUUCGUUUGAUUGACGCAAGUGCCUGCGUCUAAACGCCGCGUCUGACGCCGUGUCCCGCGUCUGACGCCAUAAAAUUCAGCGGUCGCGACAUAAACUCUGCGUCUAUUUAACCUAAUUACAAUUUUACCUUUAUAAUAAUUCAGUAUUUACAAGAAAUGCCAAACCUAAUAGCCGCAGACGCAGGUUUCCAUUUUGACGCUGACGCAGCUCCUCUCCAUCUCUCUCGAUCUCAAGCUCUCUCCAUCUCUCUCGGUCUGGAUCUCUCUCGAUCUCGAUCUCUCUCUCCAUCACGAGCCCUCUAUCGAGCUCUCUCAUCUCCGGCUCGAGCUCUCUCUUCGUCGAUACAGACCAUGAGCUCUCUCAUCUCUGGCUCGAGCUCUUUAGUUUCAGACGAAAAAUACGAGCUCUCUCAUCUCCGCCGCAAACCUUGAGCUCUCUCAUCUCUGGGCUGAUAACGAGUUCUCUCUCAUCUCCUCCGAUUUGGGUUUGCAUUGUUGAGGAUUAGUUGCUGAUAAAAUAAUAGAGGAAGAGAGUUCCCUGGAAGAAGAUGAGGAGGAUAACCAAGAACCUGAAGUAGACGUGACUCAACUUACAUGGAGGAAGAACAAGUUGUUUGAGCUAAGACUUAACAUGGGAAUGUUAAGACAUGUUCCUGAUUGUUUUAUGUGAGCCGAUUGUAUUAUUUUCCAUUAUGUGGGACUGAGUGGUCUCUGUUGUUUAGGCAAUGGCUGAACAGAUUGAACAGAUGGGUGGUCAGAUAGAGAAUUAUCAAAAGAAACUUGAGGAGUUGCAAGACAAAUACACUGGUCAAGUGCGGGAGUGCUCUGAUCUGACUAGCAGGCUUGAAAGCACCGAG